Molecule: long non-coding RNA, 134 nt
Organism: Sander lucioperca (pikeperch)
Lineage: Eukaryota; Metazoa; Chordata; Actinopteri; Perciformes; Percidae
Exons: 3
Source: RefSeq, a predicted model, not a curated record
CUCUGCUUCUGCUGUUUACCUACACUCUCAGAAAUAAAGGUACAGAAAAGUAAAAAAAAAAGUACAAAUGCUCGUCGCUGGGGCAGUACCCCCAACGGGAAGAAACUUGUACCAUAUUAAUGGGUACAAAGAAG